This 1342-nucleotide ribosomal RNA is filed under the name metagenome. Its description in RNAcentral is "bacterial LSU rRNA". It matches the Rfam family "Bacterial large subunit ribosomal RNA", at positions 1564 to 2925 of the family's 2925-position model. The record is from RNAcentral.
UGAAUACGAGACGCUACGGCGUCGAAGCAGUCUAUGUCAGACUUCCAAGAAAAGCUCGCAAUGUCAUAAACAAAUAAUGCCUGUACCAUAACCGACACAGGUGGGUAGGUAGAGUAUACUAAGGGGCGUGAGAUAACUCUCUCUAAGGAACUCGGCAAAAUGACUCCGUAACUUCGGGAGAAGGAGUGCCUUAUUUAUAAGGUUGCAAUAACAAGAUCCAAGCAACUGUUUAUCAAAAACACAGGUCUCCGCUAAGUCGUAAGACGAUGUAUGGGGGCUGACGCCUGCCCAGUGCCAGAAGGUUAAAGAAGUUGGUUAGCAUUCGCGAAGCUGAUAACUGAAGCCCUGGUGAACGGCGGCCGUAACGAUAACGGUCCUAAGGUAGCGAAAUUCCUUGUCGGGUAAGUUCCGACCCGCACGAAAGGCGUAAUGAUUUGGAUACUGUCUCGGAGAGGGGCUCGGUGAAAUAGACUUGUCUGUGAAGAUGCGGACUACCUGCACCUGGACAGAAAGACCCUAUGAAGCUUUACUGUAACUUGAAAUUGAAAUUGGACUUUAUUUGCGCAGCAUAGGUGGGAGGCGUUGAGAGUAUUCUUGCGGGAAUAUUGGAGCCAUCAGUGAGAUACCACUCUUGUAAUGUUAGAUUUCUAACUUUGUAUCAUUAUCUGGUCAAAGAACAGUUUCAGGCGGGCAGUUUGACUGGGGCGGUCGCCUCCCAAACGGUAACGGAGGCGUACAAAGGUUUCCUCUGAACGGGUAGAAAUCGUAUCUAGAGUGUAAAGGCAUAAGGAAGCUUGACUGUGAGACCUACAAGUCGAGCAGGGACGAAAGUCGGUCUUAGUGAUCUGACGGUGCUGAGUGGAAAGGCCGUCACUCAACGGAUAAAAGUUACUCUAGGAUAACAGGCUGAUCUCCCCCAAGAGUUCACAUCGACGGGGAGGUUUGGCACCUCGAUGUCGGCUCAUCGCAUCCUGGGGCGGUAGUACGUCCCAAGGGUUGGGCUGUUCGCCCAUGAAAGCGGUACGCGAGCUGGGUUCAGAACGUCGUGAGACAGUUCGGUCCAUAUCCGGUGUAGGCGUUAGAAUAUUGAGAGGAGCCUUCUUUAGUACGAGAGGACCGAGAAGGACAUACCUCUGGUGUACCAGUUAUCGUGCCAACGGUAAACGCUGGGUAGCUAUGUAUGGAGAGGAUAACCGCUGAAAGCAUCUAAGUGGGAAGCCCACCUCAAGAUAAGUAUUCUCAUCACGUAAGUGAAUAAGGUCACGGUAAGACUAACCGUUUGAUAGGCAUUAAGUGUAAAUCUAGUAAUAGGUGAGCUGAGAUGUACUAACAGACCGAAGAC